Molecule: long non-coding RNA, 1179 nt
Filed under: Pogona vitticeps (central bearded dragon)
Lineage: Eukaryota; Metazoa; Chordata; Lepidosauria; Squamata; Agamidae
Description: lncRNA (ENSPVIG00000014231.1)
Source: RNAcentral
CACUGGGAAAAGCUGAAAGCAACAAUAAAACAGGAAGACUGCGAUAAGAGAUAGGGUGGCACCAUAAAGGAAACUACAGCCUUGAGUCUGUAAGAGUUGUACAGAGCUAUUGCUAAUAGGACAUUCUGGAGGUCAUAAAGACACGUGACGUGAUGUAACAAAAGCAAGUAUUCCUACUAGUCAUUGUCUAGGUCUGGACACCAUGUUACAAAAAGUGCUCCACACAUUGUCUCACUAUAGUUAGAAUUGCAUGGAAACCAGGUCAGCAACAUAACAGAUUGACAUGGAUAUCUCUCUGGUAAAGAGAGGGAGGGAUGUCAACAUAUAUGUAAAUCCCUUUGAGUAUGUUACCAGAAACAUCAUCAUCUGACUGGCCCACCCUAUAUGGCCCUUGGAGGAAAAAAAUAGUUCUUCUGCAGGACAAUUACCGGAUUGUUUAAAAAAACAUAUCACUGAGUGUGUGAUUCUCUGCCAAUACCAACUGAUGUUCCCCAUCAUAACAUUGAGUCUGGAGAUCAACUCCUCAUUAAGGAACACAGAUGAACAAAUUGCUUAGCAUCAAGGUUACAGAGUGUCUGACGUCACUGUUACUACGAGUAAACCCCUAGACCAUCAUUCCCAGAGUUUGGAAAGUCUGUUACAGGUAAAAAGAGUAACUGAUGAGAAAUUAUUUAGCACUGAUGAUGAUUCUUGGUGGAGAAAAAUAUUUAGAGCCAUAAUUCCUGGGAUAGGAGUUUCUGCAAAAAGCUUUUAAGAAUAUUUUUGCAUCUCUUGAAAUUCCUGAGAAUACAACUGCACAGGCUUUAUUAGCAUACAGUGGACCCUCUACUCACGGAAUUAAUCUGUAUUGGAACAGUGGCUGCAGGUUGAAAAGUCUGUAGGUCGAGGCUCCAUUGACCUACAAUGCAUUGAAAACCAAUUAAUCCGUAACUGGCCGUUUUUGUUCCAUUUUGGUUUUUUCUGGUCUGUAAGUCAAAUAGUUCCAUUUUUUUCCGGUAUGUAGGUCGAUUCUCCAGCUGCAAAUCGAACCUAAAUUUUGUGGCCAGAGAAGUCUGUAACUCAAAAAGUCUCUAAGUGGAGCAGUCUGUAAGUCAAGGGUCCACUGUAGUAGCUAGUAAGCUCAGGGGGCAAUACAGAAUUAAUUUACAGCCAAGCUGGUACAGCGUGAAACCUGAUAAG